RNAcentral lists this ribosomal RNA (285 nucleotides) under uncultured bacterium. Its description in RNAcentral is "partial 16S ribosomal RNA". It matches the Rfam family "Bacterial small subunit ribosomal RNA", at positions 28 to 308 of the family's 1533-position model. The record is from RNAcentral.
GAUGAACGCUAGCGGGAGGCUUAAUACAUGCAAGUCGAACGGCAGCGGGGGUAGCAAUACCUGCCGGCGAGUGGCGCACGGGUGAGUAACGCGUACGCAACCUACCCUUUACCGGGGCAUAGUCACGGGAAACUGUGAAUAAUUCCGUAUACGGUUUAUUGGUCGCAUGAUUGAUAAACUAAAGUCUUCGGGCGGUAAAGGAUGGGCGUGCGUCUGAUUAGGUAGUUGGUGCGGUAACGGCGCACCAAGCCUGCGAUCAGUAGGGGGCGUGAGAGCGUGACCCCC